RNAcentral lists this ribosomal RNA (253 nucleotides) under uncultured bacterium. RNAcentral's name for it is "partial 16S ribosomal RNA". It matches the Rfam family "Bacterial small subunit ribosomal RNA", at positions 524 to 776 of the family's 1533-position model. The record is from RNAcentral.
UACAGAGGAUGCAAGCGUUACUCGGAAUUACUGGGCGUAAAGCGUGCGCAGGCGGCUAUGCAAGACAGAUGUGAAAUCCCCGGGCUCAACCUGGGAACUGCAUUUGCGACUGCAUGGCUAGAGUACGGUAGAGGGGGAUGGAAUUCCGCGUGUAGCAGUGAAAUGCGUAGAUAUGCGGAGGAACACCGAUGGCGAAGGCAAUCCCCUGGACCUGUACUGACGCUCAUGCACGAAAGCGUGGGGAGCAAACAGG